This is a long non-coding RNA of Thunnus maccoyii (southern bluefin tuna), 4100 nucleotides long. RefSeq lists it as uncharacterized. Lineage: Eukaryota; Metazoa; Chordata; Actinopteri; Scombriformes; Scombridae. The transcript has 3 exons. The record is from RefSeq and is a predicted model, not a curated record.
CGUGUGAACAGGUGGAUUCAUUGCUAGAAGUAGUUAGCUAGCAGAAUAGUUAGUCAUAUAUGUUUUAUAUUGCGUGCACUUGUGGCAGCCGCACAAUGCUAACGUCAAGGACAAGGUCGAUGACGCUGCUGAGACCCAGGGUGAGGGUGACGACGGUACUAGUCAGCCUUGUUGUAUCCAGAAUCAGGCUCCAAGCGCAACACCAGUGGUUAGGCCCAGUUCAACAGCUGCAGAGGAAGGAGUCAAGAGAGCCAGAGGGAAGCCAGCCCAUCCUUUGAUUAUUUUACACGCCCAAAGUCAGACAACUUGAAAAUGUUUUUUAGUUUCCAUCCACAGCAAAAAUCAGGAAAGACUGUAGUGCAGAAAGUUUUCUUUUACAAAGAUAGCACUGAUCGAAAGUGACUGACAUACAGUGAACAUCACACUAUUGUACUUGUACUGUUCAGUUUGUAUGGCAUUUGCAAAGCCUACAGCAAUGCUUUUAUCACUGGUAUGAAAGAUUGGAAACAUAUCCUCCAAUGUAUAGAGGAACAUGAAAAGGGUGCCAUGCACAGGAAUGGUGCUGAAGCAUACUUUUUAAGGGCCUCCAAAGCAGACAUAGAGAGUUUGUUAAGUGGUAGUCACGUCAACUCACAGAGAGCAGACAGGUGCUGAAGCACGUAGUAGAUAUAGUUAAAGUCAUUGGCAGAAGGGGGCUUAGCAACAGAGGCCAGUCUGAGGCUAACUACACCUCAGAUGACACCAGUACUGAUCAUCGUAAUAUUUUGGAGAUGAUCAUUCUACUCUUCUUUUAUCACACUGCUCUCAAAAAAUACAUUCAACACAGUCAUUACCACAAUUCAACACAUUAUGCAGGAAACAAUUUCAGGUGAAACUGAGAAAGCUAGGAUGUUCUCUGUCGAAAUUGACACAACUCAGGACAUAACCUCUCAAGACCAGUGCUCUGUAAUUCUAAGAAAUGCUAAUGUCAUACACAAGAGGCUUGUGGCUGUUGUGAGGUGUGAGGCAUCUGUUGGAAAGUACUUUGUCCAAUUGGUGAUAGAGGUGGUGGAGAAACUAAAAUUGGACAUGAGCAAGUGCACUGGUAAUGCCACAGACAGAGCUGCCAAUAAGCAAAGCCAAUAUAAAGGUUUUUCUGCUCUGUUGUUGUCAAAGUCGCCCAGUCAAAUACAUGUGGUGCUAUGCACAUGUUCUGAAUCUGGUCUUGGCUGACACAACAGAAAUUGUCAUAGCAAGUGGGUCAUAGCAAGUACAUGAGAGGCUUGUGGCUGUUGUGGAGUGUGAGGCAUCUACUGGACCGUACUUUGUCCAGUUGUUGACAGAGGUAGUGGAGAAACUAAAAUUGGACAUGAGCAAGUGCAUUGGUAAUGCCACAGACAGAGUUGCCAAUAUCCAAGGCCAAUAUAAAGGUUUCUCUGCUCUGUUGUCCUCAAAGUCCCCCAAUCAAGUACAUGUGGUGCUAUGCACAUAUUCUGAAUCUGGUCUUGGCUGACAAAACAGAAAUGUCAAAGCAAGUGGGUCACUCUUCUAUCUUCUUCAUGACAUUACUGUGUUUCUUUGUGAGUCCUACCAGAGGAUGAAAGUCUGGGAAAAGGAGAGCCAGGACACAUGACACAGGCGCCUCUCUCCAAUUGAACAAACACGCUGGCAGGCUAAUUGAAGAAGGUCUUUGGAUUCUUUGGCAACCCAGACCAGGGGCUCGAUGUGGUCAUGCUCUUCACACUGUCGGUCCUACCAGGACAGGCAACCAUGAAGACCAGUGCACGAGUCAAGGCAAACGAAUUUACUGAGGCUCUGCUCAGGUAUGAAACAAUACUGACAGCUCAAGUCUUUCUCUGGGUUUUUGAGAAGAUGUUGCCUCCCUCUAAAUACUUGCAGUCAAGUGGAUUGGACAUCCUCUCUACCCAUCGAAUGGUUGUGGCUACACAAGAAGAACUGAAGGGUAUGUCAAGAGACUUUGAAAGCAUUAACGUAGAUGCAGACAGAUUUGUUCAGUGGGCAAAUAACAAGUUAAGAACAAGUUAUAGGAACAGGACGAGGAGACAGGGCUCGAGAUGGAGGCCACUCUGGCACAGAAAAGGGCAAGAAAAAAGAAAAAUAUGCCUGGAGAGAUGUCUCAUCAUGAGAUGGUGAAAGAUGAUUCAGACAGAGCCUAUGAAAUUGAAGUCCACAAUCAAAUCAUGGACAAAGUUACUAAUAGUAUCCACAGACACUUUCUUACUCAUGGCACACUAUAUGCUGACCGAGCUCUUCUGGACCCCAGAAACUUCUCCCAAGUUAGUGCUAGAGAUCUGCCUCAGACAGCGCUUCAAGAGCCAAGCAAAUGUUUGCUUAAAUUUGACGGCAGGGCAACAGUUGCCAAUUUGCAGUGUGAGCUGUUCCUCAGCUCACACUGCAAAUGUGAGAUGUACAGUAGAAGACACUCAAAACGUCAGCAUUGGAGGAAUACAGGACCAGGACACUGGAGGCUGAACCUGAUGGAAAAGAAGAUGAGGUUUAAGUUUUUACUAAAAGCUGUUCAUCUUGCAAAGAGUAUGCAUGUUGUUACCAGAUACUGAAACAGUGCAACUCGAUGACUGAUGCAUACCAUAUCCUCGGCCUUGGCUACAAGUUUCUACUCACCCUGUCAGUCACCCAAGUAUUCUGUGAGUGGAGAUUCUCUACCUUGAAGUAUAUUAAAAGCAGACACAGGAGCAAACUCUCACAAGAAAAUCAAGAGACUUUCAUGAAAUGCAUGAAAUGGCCUUGGAUACUGACAUUGAGAUUGAUGUUGCAAACAGUAAGCUGCUGAGAAAACUGCUCAUCCAAUAAGCUUGCCCUUUUUCAAUGCCACCCAUGUCUUCAUCUCCACCUCCUUUCUCCACCCUGCAGUAAGGAUACAGACGCUACCCUCAGUGCCCCUCUUUCCAUCAUCCCCACUUCCUUUUUCCAACCUGAAGUAAGGAUAUGUUACCCCACCUUUUUUUUUUUUUUAAUUUUAUUUAUUGCUCAUAGACACCAAUACCCUAGCACUAGUACAAAGGCCUACAAUGCCUGUUGUUUAUUUAAAUUUUAUUUAUUGAUCAUAGACCAACAAUACCCAAGAGUAACUGUAUCAUAACAGAAGUAGAAAUGAGUACAGUAGAUGUUUGCACUUAUUUAUUGUUCAUGGACCAGCAAUACCCAAGAACAGUUGUCUGUACAUCAGCAGCAGGCCAACAAUGUACAGUACUUAAUUUUUGUUAAAUUUUAGAUAUUAAUUAAAAUUUGUUUGUUUAUUUAAAUAUUAUUUAUUGUGUAACUGCACUUUAGAAGAAGGACAAAUGUGUUCAGUCAGUACCUGAUGUUUGUAAUUAUUUAUUCUUUAUAGAGAGUAACCCUGAAGUCCUUCAGGUUUAAAACUUAACAUGGUGAUGGCAUUAUCUGACUCAUUUCCUGUGUUGAAAUAGAUUAUACAGCCUGUUCAAAUAUAGAUAUUCAUCAUGACUGCACAAUAUAGUAGCCAGAAUCUAUCAGGGUAUCUUCACAGUGCUGGCCUGCUGGUGACAAACCUUUCACUUGCUCUUAAAAUAGCUUUGUAUUACUGUUACUGUAGCCUGGAGUAUCCACCCAUUAUGCUUAUAAAAGGUAGUAUUAAGGGCUAGUGUGUUUGUAUGUGCGUCAAUGGGGCGGGGGUGGUGGAGUAUCCGCAGCUGGUUGUGGUGGGCUUGUCUGGGAAAAAAGUCCAGGGCCAUUUUUUAGUCCUGGUCCGUCCCUGGCAUUUAGACACAACAUACAGGAGCAGAUUUAUAUCUGGACUCAUUUCCUUUCCCUCCUAUCCUAAAACAGAGAUAAAUUGUUUUCACCCAACCCUCACAAGCAGUGACAAGCCCCCUUUAUUAUAUUACCACAAAUGUUCAAUAUGGAAUCCUGUUGUAACCAUUUUAGAGAUAUAUUUGUGUGCAUACUGUAUGCUAAUUUCAUCUUUUUCUUAGAUGAUAGUUUUCACCCUAUGAACCUCAUGAAAUAAAGAAAACAAAGCACCUCUGUCUGCCAAAUGUGAACAAAUUUGACUGGUGUUUUUUAUCAGACAAGAGUCACCUUGAGGCUUUGUAGUCAAAUCACAGCAGCUCUUUUCCUCA